GCCCUGCUGAUUCGAAGGCCUGCGUUCCAACGCGGGGUAGUGGUAGGAGAAGCGGGGU
RNAcentral lists this small RNA (58 nucleotides) under uncultured Flavonifractor sp. Its description in RNAcentral is "DUF3800-VIII RNA". It matches the Rfam family "DUF3800-VIII RNA". Rfam says of the family: Bacteroidetes, Cyanobacteria, Firmicutes, Planctomycetes (1 example), Proteobacteria, Tenericutes (1 example). Lineage: Bacteria; Bacillati; Bacillota; Clostridia; Eubacteriales; Oscillospiraceae. The record is from RNAcentral.